This 243-nucleotide ribosomal RNA is filed under the name uncultured bacterium. RNAcentral's name for it is "partial 16S ribosomal RNA". It matches the Rfam family "Bacterial small subunit ribosomal RNA", at positions 534 to 776 of the family's 1533-position model. The record is from RNAcentral.
GCAAGCGUUGGUCGGAAUUACUGGGCGUAAAGGGCGCGUAGGCGGCCUGUUAAGUCGGACGUGAAAUCCCCGGGCUCAACCCGGGAACUGCGUCCGAUACUGGCAGGCUUGAAUCCGGGAGAGGGAUGUGGAAUUCCAGGUGUAGCGGUGAAAUGCGUAGAUAUCAGGAGGAACACCGAUGGCGAAGGCAGGUCUCUGGGCCACUACUGACGCUGAGAAGCGAAAGCGUGGGGAGCGAACAGG